CAAAAUCAUUCUCAGGAAUACUUUGGCCGAGGCAUUUAAUCGAGUCACCAAGGUUGUUAAAAAGUUUCGUAUACACAUAAACAUAUUUUUAGUUUGAAAAACACAGCCAUUCCUUGGCGUUAGCAGAGUUCAUCAUCAUGAGGUUGUUUGGCGUGACGUGAACUCUAACCAUACCUCAAGAGAUACCCUACGCGCCUCUUCAACCGAGGUCCAUAUAUAAUCGGAUUUCGUGCCCCUCUAAUAGGCUGGUCCACAGAACCCACCCACUGCAGCAAGCUAAACCCACCAUACAAUAAAAAUUCAACAGCAUGACAUGCCAAUUUUAUCAUUAUCCAACCUACCAAGGUAAACAAUAGUUUAUACAUUUUCAACACAAAUACCAAUUCAGCCAUUCAUGGCAAUAUUGCCAUAAGCCAAUCAAUUAGAACCAUAAAUUCACAAUAGAUCAAAUGGUCUCCAAUUACUCUAUUUUCAAAUUACUCAUUCAAUUUCAAGACAAUUUUUAAAAUCAUUUCAUUUAAACACAUUUUGUUUAUAGAACCUAAAAAUUAACUAUUUAAACUCAUUUUCCAUAACAUUCACAAAAUUGGAUAAAAACCACUUUAGAUAAAGAAGAUGAUAGUAAGGUUACUCACUAUUUCGGGAGUUAAAUUUUUUAGAGUACUCCAACUAUCGAUCCUCGAGUACAAUUUCUUUACCUUUAUCGGAAGAUUCACCACCUAGACAUAAUGCACAAUCAAGCAAUUUACCACAUUGGUGCUAAACCGUUAUAAAACUAUAUGGAUGCAUGAAAUGGAAUGCAAAUUGUUCGGAUUAUCGUCUAAACACGGUGUUCUGCACAAAUUCAAUUGUGUACUAAAUAAAACGGUAUUGGCCUAAUUUGAUCUAUCGCUCAAUUAAUUAGCCAAUAUGCCCAAUUCAACUCCAAUUAACUCCAUUUUUCUUCCAAUUCUCCAAACCAUCAAACACAAGUCAAAUAGCAUAAAAUUUAGCAAAAUCAUCUUCACAUUUUCUCUUGGGAAUUUCGGCCAUGGUGGGUGCAUCAACACUAUGAUUUUUCCUACUUGAUUUUCUCACUGUAAUUCAUCAUUUCCUAACCAAUUCACUUGAAAUAAAAUCAAAUCAACCAUCCACACUCUACAUGGAAAACUCGGCCAAUGAUGGGUGAUGGGAGAAAAUGAUUUUUUCUUGCUUGAUUUUCAUGCUACACAUCACUAACUAACUAAAAACACUAAAAUAUCUUAAAAUCUAACCAAAUCAAGCAUCAAAACUCCUCCCCUAUGUCCGGCCAGCAAGGGUAUCCUCAUGCAAACUUGAUUUUCAACCAUGAAAAAUGAAAAAAAAAUGCAUAGAAAAGGUAGAUCACAAGCUAGAAUUGAUAAAUCUUACCUUUUUUCACUUGUUUCCUUGAAUUUUCACACUUUUCCCUUGAAUUUUUCCACCUAGGGUUUUUGUUCUUCUUUUCUUCCUUUGUUCUUCCUUUGUUCUUGUUUUGGC
This 1497-nucleotide long non-coding RNA is filed under the name Theobroma cacao (cacao). RNAcentral's name for it is "long non-coding RNA (TCAC_LNC003030)". The record is from RNAcentral. Lineage: Eukaryota; Viridiplantae; Streptophyta; Magnoliopsida; Malvales; Malvaceae.